Molecule: ribosomal RNA, 1448 nt
Filed under: Lactobacillus sp. M9-1
Lineage: Bacteria; Bacillati; Bacillota; Bacilli; Lactobacillales; Lactobacillaceae
Description: bacterial SSU rRNA
Rfam family: Bacterial small subunit ribosomal RNA
Source: RNAcentral
AAGUCGAACGCUUUGUGGUUCAACUGAUUUGAAGAGCUUGCUCAGAUAUGACGAUGGACAUUGCAAAGAGUGGCGAACGGGUGAGUAACACGUGGGAAACCUACCUCUUAGCAGGGGAUAACAUUUGGAAACAGAUGCUAAUACCGUAUAACAAUGACAACCGCAUGGUUGUUAUUUAAAAGAUGGUUCUGCUAUCACUAAGAGAUGGUCCCGCGGUGCAUUAGCUAGUUGGUAAGGUAAUGGCUUACCAAGGCGAUGAUGCAUAGCCGAGUUGAGAGACUGAUCGGCCACAAUGGGACUGAGACACGGCCCAUACUCCUACGGGAGGCAGCAGUAGGGAAUCUUCCACAAUGGGCGAAAGCCUGAUGGAGCAACGCCGCGUGUGUGAUGAAGGGUUUCGGCUCGUAAAACACUGUUGUAAGAGAAGAAUGACAUUGAGAGUAACUGUUCAAUGUGUGACGGUAUCUUACCAGAAAGGAACGGCUAAAUACGUGCCAGCAGCCGCGGUAAUACGUAUGUUCCAAGCGUUAUCCGGAUUUAUUGGGCGUAAAGCGAGCGCAGACGGUUAUUUAAGUCUGAAGUGAAAGCCCUCAGCUCAACUGAGGAAUUGCUUUGGAAACUGGAUGACUUGAGUGCAGUAGAGGAAAGUGGAACUCCAUGUGUAGCGGUGAAAUGCGUAGAUAUAUGGAAGAACACCAGUGGCGAAGGCGGCUUUCUGGACUGUAACUGACGUUGAGGCUCGAAAGUGUGGGUAGCAAACAGGAUUAGAUACCCUGGUAGUCCACACCGUAAACGAUGAGUGCUAGGUGUUUGAGGGUUUCCGCCCUUAAGUGCCGCAGCUAACGCAUUAAGCACUCCGCCUGGGGAGUACGACCGCAAGGUUGAAACUCAAAGGAAUUGACGGGGACCCGCACAAGCGGUGGAGCAUGUGGUUUAAUUCGAAGCAACGCGAAGAACCUUACCAGGUCUUGACAUCCCUUGACAACUCCAGAGAUGGAGCGUUCCCUUCGGGGACAAGGUGACAGGUGGUGCAUGGUUGUCGUCAGCUCGUGUCGUGAGAUGUUGGGUUAAGUCCCGCAACGAGCGCAACCCUUAUUACUAGUUGCCAGCAUUCAGUUGGGCACUCUAGUGAGACUGCCGGUGACAAACCGGAGGAAGGUGGGGAUGACGUCAAAUCAUCAUGCCCCUUAUGACCUGGGCUACACACGUGCUACAAUGGCGUAUACAACGAGUUGCCAACCCGCGAGGGUGAGCUAAUCUCUUAAAGUACGUCUCAGUUCGGAUUGUAGGCUGCAACUCGCCUACAUGAAGUCGGAAUCGCUAGUAAUCGCGGAUCAGCACGCCGCGGUGAAUACGUUCCCGGGUCUUGUACACACCGCCCGUCACACCAUGAGAGUUUGUAACACCCAAAGCCGGUGGGGUAACCUUCGGGAGCCAGCCGUCUAAGG